UUGUUUAAUCAUCUUUUUUUCUUAAGAAACAAUGUUUUUAAUCACCGUUCUGAAAUGUGCUUCUUAAUCUGUUACCCAAAGAGAAAAUUCUACAUUUAUUAGCGCUUUGAGUGCCUGUAUAUGACCUUUUUUGUUAAGUUUACGACAAAUGUAAGGAUAGAAGAUGUCCUUUCCUUGGUCCUCAUUAUCUAUUCUAUACAGUUAGUUAUGUACCAGAUGC
Molecule: long non-coding RNA, 220 nt
Filed under: Setaria italica (foxtail millet)
Lineage: Eukaryota; Viridiplantae; Streptophyta; Magnoliopsida; Poales; Poaceae
Description: long non-coding RNA (SITA_LNC000505)
Source: RNAcentral